Molecule: ribosomal RNA, 253 nt
Filed under: uncultured bacterium
Lineage: Bacteria
Description: partial 16S ribosomal RNA
Rfam family: Bacterial small subunit ribosomal RNA
Source: RNAcentral
UACGUAGGGUGCAAGCGUUGUCCGGAAUUAUUGGGCGUAAAGAGCUCGUAGGCGGUCUGUCGCGUCGGCUGUGAAAACCCGAGGCUCAACUGGGGAGGGUCAUUCGAUACUGAUCGACUCGAAGGCAGGAGAGGGUAGUGGAAUUCCCGGUGUAGUGGUGAAAUGCGUAGAUAUCGGGAGGAACACCAGUGGCGAAGGCGACUACCUGGCCUGUUCUUGACGCUGAGGCGCGAAAGCUAGGGGAGCAAACGGG